AAGAGAAAUAGCCCAUUUUCUCUGUGUAAAUCAAGUCUGCUUCAAAGCCCGAUUGCUUUCUGACCUCUAAAUAUUUUUAGUUUCAACCUGACUCCUCUUGUUUAAUUCCGAUUAGAAAUAGCUAUAACUAUUAUCAACUCCAGAAUUUUUUUGAUCCUAGGAAACUGAAAAUCAGAGAAAAAUGGCUACGGCAUUCAGCGGCGAUGAGACUGCUCCUUUCU
RNAcentral lists this unclassified non-coding RNA (221 nucleotides) under Hevea brasiliensis (rubber tree). The record is from RNAcentral. Lineage: Eukaryota; Viridiplantae; Streptophyta; Magnoliopsida; Malpighiales; Euphorbiaceae.